UGAGGAAUUUUCUACAAUGGACGAAAGUCUGAUAGAGCAAUACCGCGUGAGGGAUGACGGCCUACGGGUUGUAAACCUCUUUUCUCAAGGAGGAAGAUCUGACGUUACUUGAGGAAUAAGCAUCGGCUAACCCUGUGCCAGCAGCCGCGGUAAUACAGGGGAUGCAAGUGUUAUCCGGAAUUAUUGGGCGUAAAGCGUCUGCAGGUUGAUAUGUAAGUCUUUUGUUAAACCUCUGAGCUCAACUCAGAACCUGCAAAAGAAACUACAUAUCUUGAGUAUAGUAGGGGUAAAGGGAAUUUCCAGUGGAGCGGUGAAAUGCGUAGAUAUUGGAAAGAACACCAACAGCGAAGGCACUUUACUGGGCUAUUACUGACACUCAGAGACGAAAGCUAGGGGAGCAAACGGG
Molecule: ribosomal RNA, 406 nt
Filed under: uncultured bacterium
Lineage: Bacteria
Description: bacterial SSU rRNA
Rfam family: Bacterial small subunit ribosomal RNA
Source: RNAcentral